CACACGAUUCACCAAAGACUUCAAUAUUCAGCCGACUUCAAAUCGUCAGGCCUCAAUUGUAUUCCUGCCCAGCUUUUUGAUGAGAAAGGACAAGAAAUUAAAAACCCACUUUUACUGAAGAAUGAGCAAAAAGUUUGGUUUUCUUAUGGUAAAGAUUACAGGUCUCCCUUAAACUGUGUUCUGAGUUUGACCUUUGACAAAGUGACUGCAGCUGAAAAGGAUGGUAUCACGGUUAUUUAUAAAAGUCUUCUGGAUCAUAAUGCUGAUCUGCUGCCAGGAUUUGACAAUUGGAAAGUUUAUACAGGAUUUCCAGAUACCUUCCAAUGUACAAACCACCAGACACUUCAGACUUUGGAAAAGGUGGAUGUGGAUAGCCAUUUUAUACAA
Molecule: long non-coding RNA, 387 nt
Organism: Alligator mississippiensis (American alligator)
Lineage: Eukaryota; Metazoa; Chordata; Crocodylia; Alligatoridae
Exons: 3
Source: RefSeq, a predicted model, not a curated record